Molecule: non-coding RNA, 258 nt
Organism: Osmia lignaria (orchard mason bee)
Lineage: Eukaryota; Metazoa; Arthropoda; Insecta; Hymenoptera; Megachilidae
Source: RefSeq, a predicted model, not a curated record
AGAAAGAGGUCUAAGGAACGAAGUCGGAUAAAAGGGAAGAGAAAGGAGAAUCCGAGGCCGUCAACGUCGCAAAUAAAAAUUCGAUACCAUAGCCAUGACUGGGAUGGCUGUCAUGGUAAUCGACGAUGCAGACGUCGCGGAGAAAGAAGAGGCAGAAGCGAGCAGUGGGCGGCAGGCGACGGGCGGCCGUCUAAUUAUUAUUUAUAUACCUAUAUUGAUAAUAUUUAAAUGAAUAAAUUGUAUAUAUAGAUCAAUUUA